CUCAAAUCCCUACUCUCUUCUUUCACUCUCUUCCUGAUCCUCACCUGGUCCCACUGAUGGUUCUGGUUUGACAGCACCAGGAAUCCUCCAUCAUCAAUGAGGACACAGAGCUGGGUGAUGCCUACGUGUUGAGAUCCUGGUCCCUCCACACACGCUCUACCAGCUGCUGCGUGAUGCCCGUGUCCAAGAUCAGGUUGUGCAGAAGGAAGUUGUUGCCUGGAACAGGAGGGGAGGGCUGGGGGUGGGGGCAUCUUCUUGCAGCUCCUUGCCCACCCUCGCCCCCACCCUCAAGGCUCCACCAGGAGCCUCCUCCAUGACCUGGCCCAGGCCCAGCCCUCAGCUUGUGCCUGCUUAUUUCCACACCUGCCCGGCCUCUGGGUUCCUCUGGGCUGCCCCAUGCUGCCUGGGCACUGCCCAGAGCCAGCUGCCCUGCCAGGCACUCACACUGCUUGGAGUCUGGAGUCACUUUCUCCAUGAGCUCAAUAAAGUUUUUCAGGAACUCGG
RNAcentral lists this non-coding RNA (504 nucleotides) under Pongo abelii (Sumatran orangutan). Lineage: Eukaryota; Metazoa; Chordata; Mammalia; Primates; Hominidae. The record is from RNAcentral.